AUUUUAAGGGAAAACUUUAAAAACUCCCGUGUGGUUUCGUAGUCCUCGUAGUCCUCUAUGGUUUAAAAUGUAUCAAUUUGUUUUUCUGUGAUUUUUUUUUCUCUUUUCCUUAUCAAUUUUAUUUUUUUUUUUCUUAAAUCAGUGACAAAGUUAAAAUUAAAUGAUAUUAAAAUAAAUAUUUGAUAAAUCUAGAUGGGUAUCUGAAGUUUUUUGUAUAUAAUUUAAUGAAAUAUUAACGAAAAAGCUACCGAAAAAUUAAAAACGAAAUCAUAGGGGACAAUUUGAUACAUUUUAAAUUACAGAGGGGAAAAGUGAGAAACUACCAAACCGCAGAGGAGGUUUUUGAAGUUUUUCCUAAUUUUAAAGUGCUUGAAUUUU
RNAcentral lists this long non-coding RNA (378 nucleotides) under Ananas comosus (pineapple). Its description in RNAcentral is "long non-coding RNA (ACOM_LNC029919)". Lineage: Eukaryota; Viridiplantae; Streptophyta; Magnoliopsida; Poales; Bromeliaceae. The record is from RNAcentral.